UACGUAGGGCGCAAGCGUUAUCCGGAAUUAUUGGGCGUAAAGAGCUCGUAGGCGGUUUGUCGCGUCUGCCGUGAAAUCCCGAGGCUCAACCUCGGGUCUGCAGUCGAUACGAGCAAACUAGAGUGUUGCAGGGGAGACUGGAAUUCCUGGUGUGGCGGUGAAAUGCGCAGAUAUCAGGAGGAACACCGGUGGCGAAGGCGGGUCUCUGGGUAGU
Molecule: ribosomal RNA, 214 nt
Filed under: uncultured bacterium
Lineage: Bacteria
Description: partial 16S ribosomal RNA
Rfam family: Bacterial small subunit ribosomal RNA
Source: RNAcentral